RNAcentral lists this ribosomal RNA (428 nucleotides) under uncultured bacterium. Its description in RNAcentral is "bacterial SSU rRNA". It matches the Rfam family "Bacterial small subunit ribosomal RNA", at positions 958 to 1398 of the family's 1533-position model. The record is from RNAcentral.
AACGCGAAGAACCUUACCAGGACUUGACAUCCUUGGAAUUUCUCCGAAAGGAGAGAGUGCUUUAUUGAACCAAGUGACAGGUGAUGCAUGGCCGUCGUCAGCUCGUGUCGUGAGAUGUUUGGUUAAGUCCAUCAACGAGCGCAACCCUUAUGUUUAGUUGAAUUUUUCUAAACAGACUGCCCUGGUAACAGGGAGGAAGGAGGGGAUGAUGUCAGGUCAGUAUUUCCCUUACGUCCUGGGCUACAAACACGCUACAAUGGCCGGUACAAAGGGCAGCCAAGUCGCGAGACGGAGCAAAUCCCAUCAAAGCCGGUCUCAGUUCGGAUUGCAGGCUGAAACUCGCCUGCAUGAAGUCGGAAUCGCUAGUAAUGGUAGGUCAGCUAUACUACCGUGAAUACGUUCCCGGGCCUUGUACACACCGAGACGAC